UACGGGGGGGGCAAGCGUUGUUCGGAAUUACUGGGCGUAAAGGGCUCGUAGGUGGCCAACUAAGUCAGACGUGAAAUCCCUCGGCUUAACCGGGGAACUGCGUCUGAUACUGGAUGGCUUGAGUUUGGGAGAGGGACGCGGAAUUCCAGGUGUAGCGGUGAAAUUCGUAGAUAUUGGGAAGAACACCGGUGGCGAAGGCGGCGCUCUGGACCGAGACUGACGCUGAGGCGCGAAAGCGUGGGGAGCAAACAGG
This 253-nucleotide ribosomal RNA is filed under the name uncultured bacterium. RNAcentral's name for it is "partial 16S ribosomal RNA". It matches the Rfam family "Bacterial small subunit ribosomal RNA", at positions 524 to 776 of the family's 1533-position model. The record is from RNAcentral.